UACGAAGGGGGCUAGCGUUGCUCGGAAUCACUGGGCGUAAAGGGUGCGUAGGCGGGACUUUAAGUCAUGGGUGAAAUCCUGGAGCUCAACUCCAGAACUGCCUUUGAUACUGAGGAUCUUGAGUUCGGGAGAGGUGAGUGGAACUGCGAGUGUAGAGGUGAAAUUCGUAGAUAUUCGCAAGAACACCAGUGGCGAAGGCGGCUCACUGGCCCGAUACUGACGCUGAGGCACGAAAGCGUGGGGAUCAAACAGG
RNAcentral lists this ribosomal RNA (253 nucleotides) under uncultured bacterium. RNAcentral's name for it is "partial 16S ribosomal RNA". It matches the Rfam family "Bacterial small subunit ribosomal RNA", at positions 524 to 776 of the family's 1533-position model. The record is from RNAcentral.